GGGGCACGGUGCCAGGCAGGACCAGGCUGCUGGGGCAGGAGGCACAGGGUGGCCUGGUUGUGGGGAGUCCCUUUGGCGUGGACUGAGGCGCCCGGGUCGAGUGCUCAGUUUCAGGAGGGUUUUUGGGCUUCCUCCUUCACGUGGCUGAAGCACAGCCAUGGAGAGGGAAGCCUCUCACAACCUCCUGGGGGUACCUGCAACAGGUGAUGUGAGCAGAGACCUUGGCUUGUGCUGCCUCAGAAUUCUGGCAUGUAAAUAAGUUGUCACUUAACAACAGUGGGAACUGCAACAUUUGGAGUUCUGGGAAAAUCCUCUGCACCCCAAGUAGGCACUGUAGUUAUGUAAAACACACGUAAGAUAUUAAUUCCCUCCAGGAGAUUGUAUUUUGUGUUUUAUGUAUUUUGAGUUUCCCAGGCAGUGGGGAGCAAGAGGGCAUUUGGUUCUGCAAGAUGUUUAACCAGAUCUGAAAACCUCACCAUGGAAGUUUAGGAAGAGGCGAUGUCCCACUGCAGCCAGGUGGAAGGAAGAGCCAGGUGUAGAUCUCCUGUGUUCUAAUGGUACAUUCAGACUGAAAAAUAGCCUCAUCUAAAUACUAAUAUUCAAAUAACAGUCACCACAAAUCCAUUUGUUCCUGCCACAGACUUCAGAAAAAUUGCUGCUUGUCUUCCCUCCCCCACGAGGCUGAAUCCCAGCACCCCAGAUUGUCGUGACUGCCUGGGAUUGGUGACAUCUCCAGUGAAAUGUGUUGGAGCAUCAAAACAGAGUGGGAGAAGCACAGCCUGGCUGUGGAGCCAGAAAUAGGAAUCCCCCAGCACAUCUGAUUCCAGCCAUAUGACCCAACACCUCAGCUGACCCUUUCAGGUAACACACAGAAAGGGCCAGGCUGUGGUGCUGCUGGUUCCUGCCAUGGGCAAAGUUUUCCUCUUGCUUUGAAUUCUCUCAGACCGCUGCCGUCUCACUUCCCCUGGCACAGGAGAAAAUGUGAUGGUGUUUACAGAGCAGAAGCACUGGGACUCAGGAGAUGUGAAAGGUGGCUCUGCUGGCUCUACCUUCAACACCUCUCCAUGGUUCUGACUUCCUGUCAGGAUAACCUGGACUAAAAUCCCUCUGUGCUUCUCCUGUGCGAUCCUACGGUAUCUAACACAACCUCAGACUCUGUCAACGGGGCACUCCAGGAGCUCCACCUUCCUCUCAGCCAUCUCAGGGAACUCAGCUCAGUGUUUGGAAGCUCUGCCUCCAUUUAUGACCUUCCCUGAUUCCAGUGAGGAGCUGGAACUGCUGUUGACCUCAGGAGUGACAGAAGUAUAUGCUGGGGUUGGAGGGUUUCUGGCAUAUGACCUGCUAACCUAGAAUUUGCUUGGCAAAGUCCAGAGGAUGACUUUUAACCUCAGAGCAGUUUGCAAAACCACAUCUGUGACCAAUAAAUGUGAAAAAUAAAUGAAAAAAUAAAUCUAGCCCCUAUUGAAGGAUGAAAGACAGCACACCUUGCUGGGCACUGGUGCUGGAAUCAGGAUGGAGAUUGGGAAUAAUCGGACAGGCCAUGUGCCAGAUGCUGUCCAUGAAUGGAGCCAAUGCCUCACGCAAGGGAGGAAGCACAGCAGGUUAAAGUGAAGGUAUCUCAUAGCUCUAAGUCUUAAACUUAACGAGCCACAUCUUUAUUUGUGCUGCAGCCCCUUCUUAUCCAAAAUUGCCUUUACCAGCUGCCAGAGGAUGCCUGGGAACGGAAAAUUCUCUGGAUAACAAUAAAUUGGUGUAACGAUUGAGUGUCACCUCACAUCCUGCUAAGCAAUAGAGAAAUCACGAUGAGAAAAAUAGGCACGACCAGAGUGGCACUGAACAGUGCAAUCCUAAUUCCAUCACCCUUCUUGUGGGCGACAGAUAACCCAGUGCAAUUUACAGCCGCUCUGAAGCGGCUCCAAGUCUCAGCAGGAGUCGGGAAAGCUCACUGUAGCCUCGGGACUGAGAAGUCACAAAGAUCAGGCAAAUUGUUGUUCCAUAACCUUGCCUCUGCACCAAAACCAGGGGGCUGGUUUGGAAUGGGAAGCACUCCAAGCAAAACACAAAAUUUUAAUCACCGAAAUGAAGGUCCUCCUCUGGCUCCCUCUCUGGAGAAUAGUCUGUCUCUGAUCAUCGUGCACAGACUCUCAAAGAAGGUAAAUUUUGGAUUUAAAUCUCUACGUCAGCAUGUGAAUGACAGCGUUAAAUCUUGGCUGUAAGGCUGAGAUAUCUCCAAGAGGAGAAAAACACUUUUUCCACUUAAGUGGCUGAGGUAGAGGAGGUAAAUAUAUUGUCUCCCACUAUUAAAGGGUGAGGAAAUCAUUUAUACAUGUGUAUUACACCUUUGCACCUAACAUUGGAGUUAUUUUUUAUAUUCAAGAGACUAAAAGUUUAGAAAUACCAACAUUAAGGUGGCCUAUGCAACUGUAAUUUGUCCCUUCCAUGCAUUUGCAUUAUGAUACAGUAUUUAAUUCUAAUUAGAUCACACGUUGCUCUUUCAACAGGUUCCUGGCCUCACUCAUUGUACAGAAUAGACUGUGCUCACUAAGUAAUAAUUUUAUUUUCUCCUCGCU
This is a non-coding RNA of Lonchura striata (white-rumped munia), 2570 nucleotides long. Lineage: Eukaryota; Metazoa; Chordata; Aves; Passeriformes; Estrildidae. The record is from RefSeq and is a predicted model, not a curated record.